GCAGUUCUAUCUAGGGAAACAGACGGACUUAAAAUCCGUUGGCCCAAAAGGCCCGUGCCGGUUCGAGUCCGGCCAUCGGCA
RNAcentral lists this transfer RNA (81 nucleotides) under Verrucomicrobiota bacterium. RNAcentral describes it as "Verrucomicrobia bacterium tRNA-Leu". The record is from RNAcentral. Lineage: Bacteria; Pseudomonadati; Verrucomicrobiota.